RNAcentral lists this ribosomal RNA (490 nucleotides) under uncultured bacterium. RNAcentral's name for it is "bacterial SSU rRNA". It matches the Rfam family "Bacterial small subunit ribosomal RNA", at positions 28 to 517 of the family's 1533-position model. The record is from RNAcentral.
GAUGAACGCUAGCGGCAGGCUUAACACAUGCAAGUCGAGGGGUAUUGGUUUUCGGACCAAGAGACCGGCGCACGGGUGCGUAACGCGUAUGCAAUCUACCUUUUGCAGAGGGAUAGCCCCAGAGAAAUUUGGAUUAAUACCUCAUAGUAUAGUACUUUGGCAUCAAGGAACUAUUAAAGUCACAACGGCAAAGAUGAGCAUGCGUCCCAUUAGCUAGUUGGUAAGGUAACGGCUUACCAAGGCUACGAUGGGUAGGGGUUCUGAGAGGGAGAUCCCCCCACACUGGUACUGAGACACGGACCAGACUCCUACGGGAGGCAGCAGUGAGGAAUAUUGGACAAUGGGCGCAAGCCUGAUCCAGCCAUGCCGCGUGCAGGAUGACGGUCCUAUGGAUUGUAAACUGCUUUUAUACAGGAAGAAACACUCCGACGUGUCGGAGCUUGACGGUACUGUAAGAAUAAGGAUCGGCUAAACUCCGUGCCAGCAGCCG